Molecule: long non-coding RNA, 541 nt
Organism: Chinchilla lanigera (long-tailed chinchilla)
Lineage: Eukaryota; Metazoa; Chordata; Mammalia; Rodentia; Chinchillidae
Exons: 3
Source: RefSeq, a predicted model, not a curated record
CCAGGCGUGACGGCUCCAUGAAGCAUCCAUGGCUCCAAAAUGCCUCUGCCUCGCACUGAUUUGUCCUCUGCACCGUCAUGGCAUCCAUUAAUCGCCCAACCCAGUGGCUUUCACAGGAACCACGGUUUAUUUUUAUGCAGCGGUCUCCCAUGUGACAGCGUUAGCUAUGCAAGGGCAGAGAUUCUUCUCUUUCUGUUCUUUGAUUUGCUCGAAGAGCGUAGAAGAGUGCCUGUCACCACAUCACUGACAAAUGAACUGAUGUAUUUCGGAUGGUCGCAAGGCCUUCUGGUGGUUCCCUAUCUGAAUGUUUACAAAAUGUGGAAAUCCCUCCCGAGUCACUCUCUCAGAUCCUGACACAGACUGCAGGAAGUUAGCAGGGAAGAGCCUGGCUCUGGCUGGACCGAGCAGGAGAAGAGAGGAGUCAAGCUCCACCUACGGUGGAGGAAAGUUCAGUAGGCAAAAGCAGCUUCUCCAGGGCUUCCCAGCACCGAGAUGGAGCAGCAAUCUUUCUUCUCUGAGAUUAACGUGGCCUGCAGCCACA